Long non-coding RNA from Ictalurus punctatus (channel catfish), 2752 nucleotides. NCBI's taxonomy places the organism in Eukaryota, Metazoa, Chordata, Actinopteri, Siluriformes, Ictaluridae. The record is from Ensembl.
AUCUCAUUAUCUCAUUAUUUAUUUACUACUUAUUUACUUAUUACAUUACUACUUAUUUACAAUUAUUAUUAUUGAAUCAUUAUGAAGUAUUGAAUAUAUUAUACAGUAUAAUUUAGAUAUUAUGCAUUAAGCAUCUUAUAUAAGGCUUUUGCACAGCACUAUAACACAAAUCUAACCAUCUCUACACACACGCUUAAAAUAACGCUUAGCUCUAGAACCUGUUUAGAUCUCUUGUUUUGUUCCUAACUGGGAACGCUAAAAGGCUAUAGAACCGUACACCUGCGUUUCCUAUAAAGUUCAAAGUAAGCAACUCUAAAACUCUUAACUAUUCAGAAGAACCCUUGAGGAAGUUUUUUUUUUGUCAUCUGUAUAAUAAUUAUGCUUGAAAUUAUUUUUUAUUUUAUUUUACUGUGCACUUUUUUUUAUUUCCUUCCAUUUAUUUACUUUAACCUUGCGCAAUGACCUUGACACUUUUUAAACAAGAAAUCAUGUACUACAGUCGAGCUAUCACGUGUAUGAAAGGAUAGUAGUAGUAGUAGUAGUAUGUUUUUAUUCAGAAACUGAGUAAAUACCAACAAUUAAUUAAGUCCUAUAAAUCUAAAAAGGAGUCAAAAGUACAAUUGACUUAAGAUUAAAUGACAUGACUAGACCUAUCAUUAUCUGUUAUUAAAACAAGCUUGGUUAGGGUUCUUGGCAAAGUUCGGACUCAUUUUCAUUUUAAACCACCUGUAAUUACUACACCGGACAUUCUUUUAAAGUGUUAUGAUUGAUUUAAGCGUUCAGUGAUAUGUAAAUAUUUAAUCCAGACACAAUCCGAGCCUCUCUUCCAGCCAUAAAUAUUAAACAAAAUGACAGCAGAAGUUUUUCUUUAGGCGCAGUGAAUGAAGAACCCGUUCAGGGUGGAAUCGACUCUUGUUCGAAAGAGUCGAUUGGGUGAGUUGAAUGCUCGUCACGCGCGUCAUUAAGGAGAAAACGAAAGGAAGAAAGGAGAGUUUUAACAGGUGAAUGAUCACCUGGAUUAUUGUUGGGGGGUUAUGAAAUUCUGUCCUGUUUAUUCCCUGUAUUUUUAAAAGUGCGUUAUGGGCAGGCUGAUUUGUAGGUCUAACCAGCCAGUUGAAUGUGGAAAAAAAGAAAAGUGCACUAUAUAGGCAAGGGUGCAUAUGAUUUGGAACAGGCCUAAUCAUCAAUGCAUGAUGGGAAAAUUUAGGAAAGAUAAGUGAUACAUCCGCAUACAUGUGGCACAAGUUGUUACGUCGAACCGCGCGCGCUGAGUGACACUAAUUAAGUGUAUCACCUGUCCUGGCGUAAUUCUUUGGCACUCCUCUUUACGCACUGCGUUUUGGUUGUUGUUUCUUUCUUUCUUUUUUCUUUCUUAGACGUGGCGUCUGAUCUUUUUUUUUUUUGGUCGCGGUUAGAUUAUGAAAUCACGACAGUUCAGUCUGAAAUCCGACACUUUUUUAGGGAACACUUUUAAUUUCAGUACCUGGCAACGCUGUAGGGGCGGAAACUUCAUAACAGCGCCGAAAUACGCGACUCCAAGAAUACGCGCAACUAAAACCAACCCGAGCUGAACUCUCCGGCAGACCGAACAGAGCCCACAAACCCAAACCCAGGGAGAGUUUCCAUUACAAAAAGAAGAAAAAUGUAGUCUCCAUGCAUGGAUUGUAACUGUCCGAGUUGAGAGGACUUCAGCACGAAUCAUUCAGGCGUGUGAACAUGGACCAAAAAUGACAAAUGCAUCUUCUUGGCACUUCUGUUUUGGUGUUUCUCCUCCUACCUCUCGUCUUCUCCUGCAAAAGCACCAAGAGUAAAGAGGAGAUCUCUCAGGAUUAUGAGUAUAUCAUUCAGAAGCAGCUGGAGCACAUUAACUUGAGUAUUCAGAGACAGGUGGAGUCCUGCGGGGAACGAAAGCUCGUGCUGCAGAAUUUAUUCCCGAUCGAGCGCAUCAGCACCGUGUCCUGCACCCGUUUACCGAGGAACAUAAGUGGUCAGCUGCACACUGAAUUACGGAACCUCGUGAGGGACAUAACGGUAUCGCUGGGAUGUCCCUGUUCUGCAAACCAGACCGAGCAGGCAGAGAGGUGGCCGGACUCCCAGCCUUUACAGAAGAAGUUUUGCCGACUGAAACGUUUGCUCAUGACGAUACAGAAAGCGUACGAACAAUACAACUCGGCUUAGUAAGUGUGGGCCACCGUGAGCGCCGAUUGAAAGAUGUUCUAAAUCUGAAAUAAUAAUAAUAAAAACAAUAGUAAUAAUAAAUAAAAUAUCGAAGCAUGGCUUCCUUACAAAGCUUUGCAUGGCACCUUGUAUAUGAGAGGACAUACACUCAUAACGAAGUGGCGAGUGAAACACGCCCGCUGCUUGGAGAGCAAAAAUCAGCCGGAUGCAGGAUCCAUCAUGAAUCGUACAACCAGCAGACAUGUCUCACGGACCAGUCGCCGUGAAACAGGUCGACCCCCCCCCGAUGGUUCAACAGCAUUCUUUGACUUUAACCCAUGUUUCCACUGAAGCUCUGGAUAUCCACCUUGUUUUUCUAGCUAUGGAGAUCUACUCUCAGUUCCUAGAGCUUGUUUUGAACUGCGCCCAAAAAGGUGUGAAGGAAAAGGGUCAGAAGAUGAGUUAUGUCCUGAUGAUGUCAAAGUUGUCUGUGGCAAAGUGUAGAGAGAGGCAUAUGCAGAAGAGCGCGGACAGCACUUUCCUCAGAGCAAGUUAUGCUACAAAGAAAAUCUUAGGGGGGGGCAAUAAUGGAUAA